Molecule: non-coding RNA, 54 nt
Organism: Salmo salar (Atlantic salmon)
Lineage: Eukaryota; Metazoa; Chordata; Actinopteri; Salmoniformes; Salmonidae
Source: Rfam
UGCAUUCACUACUGUAAGUCGCUCUGGAUAAGAGUGUCUACUAAAUGACUUAAA